Molecule: ribosomal RNA, 251 nt
Filed under: uncultured bacterium
Lineage: Bacteria
Description: partial 16S ribosomal RNA
Rfam family: Bacterial small subunit ribosomal RNA
Source: RNAcentral
CGGGUAGCAAUACCCAGUCGAGCGGCGGACGGGUGAGUAACGCGUGGAUAAUCUACCUUUUGGUGGGGGAUAACCCGGGGAAACUCGGGCUAAUACCGCAUAAGAUCGCAAGAUGAAAGGGGCGUUAAGUCCCGCCGGAAGAGGAGUCCGCGUCCGAUUAGCUAGUUGGUAGGGUAAUGGCCUACCAAGGCGACGAUCGGUAGCCGGCCUGAGAGGGUGAUCGGCCACACUGGAACUGAGACACGGUCCAG